GUGAGUAAUGCGUCGGAAUGUACCGUGUAAUGGGGGAUAGCUCGGCGAAAGCCGGAUUAAUACCGCAUACGCCCUGAGGGGGAAAGCGGGGGAUCGAAAGACCUCGCGUUAUACGAGCAGCCGACGUCUGAUUAGCUAGUUGGUGAGGUAAGAGCUCACCAAGGCGACGAUCAGUAGCGGGUCUGAGAGGAUGAUCCGCCACACUGGGACUGAGACACGGCCCAGACUCCUACGGGAGGCAGCAGUGGGGAAUUUUGGACAAUGGGGGCAACCCUGAUCCAGCCAUGCCGCGUGUCUGAAGAAGGCCUUCGGGUUGUAAAGGACUUUUGUCAGGGAGGAAAUCCCGCUGGUUAAUACCCGGCGGGGAUGACAGUACCUGAAGAAUAAGCACCGGCUAACUACGUGCCAGCAGCCGCGGUAAUACGUAGGGUGCGAGCGUUAAUCGGAAUUACUGGGCGUAAAGCGUGCGCAGGCGGUUGUGCAAGUCUGAUGUGAAAGCCCCGGGCUUAACCUGGGAACGGCAUUGGAGACUGCACAGCUAGAGUGCGUCAGAGGGGGGUAGAAUUCCACGUGUAGCAGUGAAAUGCGUAGAGAUGUGGAGGAAUACCGAUGGCGAAGGCAGCCCCCUGGGAUGACACUGACGCUCAUGCACGAAAGCGUGGGGAGCAA
This 669-nucleotide ribosomal RNA is filed under the name Chromobacterium violaceum. Its description in RNAcentral is "bacterial SSU rRNA". It matches the Rfam family "Bacterial small subunit ribosomal RNA", at positions 106 to 771 of the family's 1533-position model. The record is from RNAcentral. Lineage: Bacteria; Pseudomonadati; Pseudomonadota; Betaproteobacteria; Neisseriales; Chromobacteriaceae.